CCGGCCGUUGUAGGAGACGGAUCGCUGCCGGCCGGCGCCACGCGGCGAAACAUCGCACCGCGACUUGUUUGUAUAGGGAUGUUUGUUCCGAGAUAGUGCGUCCUACAAACCCUUUGACAACGAGGAUCAGUGACUGUGUGCAACUCGUGGUUCGAGCCAACUCAGUGUUAGGACCUAAUGAUUUUUCAUGUGAAAGUGUCUUCUGUGGUCGGUUUGAUGUAAGAGCAGAUUCAAGACAUUCAUAAACUUUGCAAGUAAUAUUAAUGAAGAAGAUACAAUUUUGGAAGUGAUACAUCAAAGGAAAAUUUCUACACGAGGAAAUAACAAACUGCGAAGUUACGUCAUAAGGAAGCGAUCGUUAAAAAGAUCAAUCACCCUGGAUCUACAAAAAGAAAACCACGCGAAAACACUAGUACAAGGUAAA
This is a long non-coding RNA of Pectinophora gossypiella (pink bollworm), 424 nucleotides long. RefSeq lists it as uncharacterized. Lineage: Eukaryota; Metazoa; Arthropoda; Insecta; Lepidoptera; Gelechiidae. The record is from RefSeq and is a predicted model, not a curated record. The transcript is spliced from 4 exons.